This 2902-nucleotide ribosomal RNA is filed under the name Escherichia coli B93. RNAcentral's name for it is "bacterial LSU rRNA". It matches the Rfam family "Bacterial large subunit ribosomal RNA". The record is from RNAcentral. Lineage: Bacteria; Pseudomonadati; Pseudomonadota; Gammaproteobacteria; Enterobacterales; Enterobacteriaceae.
UUAAGCGACUAAGCGUACACGGUGGAUGCCCUGGCAGUCAGAGGCGAUGAAGGACGUGCUAAUCUGCGAUAAGCGUCGGUAAGGUGAUAUGAACCGUUAUAACCGGCGAUUUCCGAAUGGGGAAACCCAGUGUGAUUCGUCACACUAUCAUUAACUGAAUCCAUAGGUUAAUGAGGCGAACCGGGGGAACUGAAACAUCUAAGUACCCCGAGGAAAAGAAAUCAACCGAGAUUCCCCCAGUAGCGGCGAGCGAACGGGGAGGAGCCCAGAGCCUGAAUCAGUGUGUGUGUUAGUGGAAGCGUCUGGAAAGGCGCGCGAUACAGGGUGACAGCCCCGUACACAAAAAUGCACAUGCUGUGAGCUCGAUGAGUAGGGCGGGACACGUGGUAUCCUGUCUGAAUAUGGGGGGACCAUCCUCCAAGGCUAAAUACUCCUGACUGACCGAUAGUGAACCAGUACCGUGAGGGAAAGGCGAAAAGAACCCCGGCGAGGGGAGUGAAAAAGAACCUGAAACCGUGUACGUACAAGCAGUGGGAGCACAGAGCAAUCUGUGUGACUGCGUACCUUUUGAUAAUGGGUCAGCGACUUAUAUUCUGUAGCAAGGUUAACCGAAUAGGGGAGCCGAAGGGAAACCGAGUCUUAACUGGGCGUUAAGUUGCAGGGUAUAGACCCGAAGCCCGGUGAUCUAGCCAUGGGCAGGUUGAAGGUUGGGUAACACUAACUGGAGGACCGAACCGACUAAUGUUGAAAAAUUAGCGGAUGACUUGUGGCUGGGGGUGAAAGGCCAAUCAAACCGGGAGAUAGCUGGUUCUCCCCGAAAGCUAUUUAGGUAGCGCCUCGUGAAUUCAUCUCCGGGGGUAGAGCACUGUUUCGGCAAGGGGGUCAUCCCGACUUACCAACCCGAUGCAAACUGCGAAUACCGGAGAAUGUUAUCACGGGAGACACGCGGCGGGUGCUAACGUCCGUCGUGAAGAGGGAAACAACCCAGACCGCCAGCUAAGGUCCCAAAGUCAUGGUUAAGUGGGAAACGAUGUGGGAAGGCCCAGACAGCCAGGAUGUUGGCUUAGAAGCAGCCAUCAUUUAAAGAAAGCGUAAUAGCUCACUGGUCGAGUCGGCCUGCGCGGAAGAUGUAACGGGGCUAAACCAUGCACCGAAGCUGCGGCAGCGACACUGUGUGUUGUUGGGUAGGGGAGCGUUCUGUAAGCCUGUGAAGGUGUGCUGUGAGGCAUGCUGGAGGUAUCAGAAGUGCGAAUGCUGACAUAAGUAACGAUAAAGCGGGUGAAAAGCCCGCUCGCCGGAAGACCAAGGGUUCCUGUCCAACGUUAAUCGGGGCAGGGUGAGUCGACCCCUAAGGCGAGGCCGAAAGGCGUAGUCGAUGGGAAACAGGUUAAUAUUCCUGUACUUGGUGUUACUGCGAAGGGGGGACGGAGAAGGCUAUGUUGGCCGGGCGACGGUUGUCCCGGUUUAAGCGUGUAGGCUGGUUUUCCAGGCAAAUCCGGAAAAUCAAGGCUGAGGCGUGAUGACGAGGCACUACGGUGCUGAAGCAACAAAUGCCCUGCUUCCAGGAAAAGCCUCUAAGCAUCAGGUAACAUCAAAUCGUACCCCAAACCGACACAGGUGGUCAGGUAGAGAAUACCAAGGCGCUUGAGAGAACUCGGGUGAAGGAACUAGGCAAAAUGGUGCCGUAACUUCGGGAGAAGGCACGCUGAUAUGUAGGUGAAGUCCCUCGCGGAUGGAGCUGAAAUCAGUCGAAGAUACCAGCUGGCUGCAACUGUUUAUUAAAAACACAGCACUGUGCAAACACGAAAGUGGACGUAUACGGUGUGACGCCUGCCCGGUGCCGGAAGGUUAAUUGAUGGGGUCAGCGCAAGCGAAGCUCUUGAUCGAAGCCCCGGUAAACGGCGGCCGUAACUAUAACGGUCCUAAGGUAGCGAAAUUCCUUGUCGGGUAAGUUCCGACCUGCACGAAUGGCGUAAUGAUGGCCAGGCUGUCUCCACCCGAGACUCAGUGAAAUUGAACUCGCUGUGAAGAUGCAGUGUACCCGCGGCAAGACGGAAAGACCCCGUGAACCUUUACUAUAGCUUGACACUGAACAUUGAGCCUUGAUGUGUAGGAUAGGUGGGAGGCUUUGAAGUGUGGACGCCAGUCUGCAUGGAGCCGACCUUGAAAUACCACCCUUUAAUGUUUGAUGUUCUAACGUGGACCCGUGAUCCGGGUUGCGGACAGUGUCUGGUGGGUAGUUUGACUGGGGCGGUCUCCUCCUAAAGAGUAACGGAGGAGCACGAAGGUUGGCUAAUCCUGGUCGGACAUCAGGAGGUUAGUGCAAUGGCAUAAGCCAGCUUGACUGCGAGCGUGACGGCGCGAGCAGGUGCGAAAGCAGGUCAUAGUGAUCCGGUGGUUCUGAAUGGAAGGGCCAUCGCUCAACGGAUAAAAGGUACUCCGGGGAUAACAGGCUGAUACCGCCCAAGAGUUCAUAUCGACGGCGGUGUUUGGCACCUCGAUGUCGGCUCAUCACAUCCUGGGGCUGAAGUAGGUCCCAAGGGUAUGGCUGUUCGCCAUUUAAAGUGGUACGCGAGCUGGGUUUAGAACGUCGUGAGACAGUUCGGUCCCUAUCUGCCGUGGGCGCUGGAGAACUGAGGGGGGCUGCUCCUAGUACGAGAGGACCGGAGUGGACGCAUCACUGGUGUUCGGGUUGUCAUGCCAAUGGCACUGCCCGGUAGCUAAAUGCGGAAGAGAUAAGUGCUGAAAGCAUCUAAGCACGAAACUUGCCCCGAGAUGAGUUCUCCCUGACCCUUUAAGGGUCCUGAAGGAACGUUGAAGACGACGACGUUGAUAGGCCGGGUGUGUAAGCGCAGCGAUGCGUUGAGCUAACCGGUACUAAUGAACCGUGAGGCUUAACCUU